RNAcentral lists this ribosomal RNA (462 nucleotides) under uncultured bacterium. RNAcentral describes it as "partial 16S ribosomal RNA". It matches the Rfam family "Bacterial small subunit ribosomal RNA", at positions 28 to 507 of the family's 1533-position model. The record is from RNAcentral.
GACGAACGCUGGCGGCGUGCUUAACACAUGCAAGUCGAGCGGAAAGGCCCUUCGGGGUCCUCGAGCGGCGAACGGGUGAGUAACACGUGAGUAACCUGCCCCAGACUUUGGGAUAACCCUCGGAAACGGGGGCUAAUACCGGAUACGACACAGCUUCGCAUGGGGUCUGUGUGGAAAGUUUUUCGGUUUGGGAUGGGCUCGCGGCCUAUCAGCUUGUUGGUGGGGUGAUGGCCUACCAAGGCGACGACGGGUAGCCGGCCUGAGAGGGCGACCGGCCACACUGGGACUGAGGCACGGCCCAGACUCCUACGGGAGGCAGCAGUGGGGAAUAUUGCACAAUGGGCGGAAGCCUGAUGCAGCGACGCCGCGUGAGGGAUGACGGCCUUCGGGUUGUAAACCUCUUUCAGCAGGGACGAAGCGUAAGUGACGGUACCUGCAGAAGAAGCGCCGGCCAACUACGUG